AUGCGGGGAGGGGAGCUCAGUGUCACGGUGAACAAGGGGGCCCAUUUACAGGUUCAGCUGGUGGAGUCUGGGGGAGACAUAAAAAUGGAAGGAGAGUCUAUCAGCAUCUCGUGUAAAGCCUCAGGGUUCACCUUUGGUGACUACUGGAUGCACUGGUACCGACAGGCUCCCGGGAAAGGACCCGCGUGGGUGUCCAGCAUUAGCUAUUGGGCCGGAACCGACAAGAGAUACGCUGAGUCGGUGAAAGGGCGAUUCACGAUCUCCAGAGACAACCCCAACAACCUGCUCUAUUUACAAAUGACCGGCCUGAGACCCGAGGACGCGGCGGUGGUCUCCUGGAUUAGCAGCACUGGCGCCAGCAGAGAUUACCCUGACUCGGUGAAAGGGCGAUUCACCGUCACCAGGGACAACGCCAAGAACCAGCUGUAUCUGCAAAUGAGCCACCUGGGACCCGAGGACACCGCCCGGUAUCACUGCACUGCGAGAGACACAGUGCGGGGAAGCCAGGCUGAGCUCUGA
Molecule: non-coding RNA, 519 nt
Organism: Malaclemys terrapin pileata
Lineage: Eukaryota; Metazoa; Chordata; Testudines; Emydidae
Source: the annotation of a RefSeq genome assembly